Cavia porcellus (domestic guinea pig) is the source of this 900-nucleotide long non-coding RNA. RefSeq lists it as uncharacterized. Lineage: Eukaryota; Metazoa; Chordata; Mammalia; Rodentia; Caviidae. The transcript is spliced from 2 exons. The record is from RefSeq and is a predicted model, not a curated record.
UAAACAACAUGUUCUGUCUGCAAGGCCUGUCCAGCUGGGAUAAACUAGUCAAGGACAUGCUUAGCUCUACCUGCCCUGCUCAUUAAGUCUCUUUUCCUGCCUCAUAAUAAGCAAUUCUGCUCAGUUACUUCUGCCUGACAGUGCAUGAUUUAAUUCAUGUAACCAGGUAUACAAUAACCUGCCAGCAGCUUUUAUAUUUUCUGCUUACAAAAUAUGUGUAAGUUUCUAUUUCAUUCUCAGGAGGGGCUGGUGAUUUGAAACCAAUUCCUACCAGCCCACUUCUGUAAUUAAUCUCUGACUUCCACACUCCUCGGUGUGAACCGUUUGGCUCAGUACCGGCUUUCUGCAGGGAAGUGACCAAGUGGAAGCAUGUGACUGGAGCCCAAGUCCUGCAGCUCACUCUGGAGGACGCAGUCUCUGACCACCACCCCAGGAGUGCCAAACUUUGAGGCCCUGAAGGACCAGGCACUUUUCUCCUGAAGCCUCAACAGGACCUCAGACAUGCCUGCUUCUAUAAUUGGCAGCCAUGGCAGGAAGAGACUCCCUCUACCACUGCUAACCAGCUUCCGCCCCACUGAAUCAUCAGAGCAAAAACUGCAGCUGGACAGAGCAAAGGCAUCAGAACCAAGAGAACACAAUCCGCUGCUGUCCUGAAGAGAACAGAAGUCUGACUUUCUCCAGUGAGGGGGAGUCACUGCCUUGACUGGGGUCUAAGUCUUCUCUCACCUUCUGACUUGAACUGCAACACUGGCUUUGCUGAGUCUUGAGUCUACAGCCUUUCAAAUAAAACUUAUACCGUCAGCUCUCCUAGGUCUCCCAUUUAUUGACCACAGACCUGUGACUUAUCAACCUCCAAAUCUUGUAAGCCAAUUCCUUACAAUAAACCUCUUGUUUUUCCUC